AAAAAAAAAAAAAAAGAGCAAACAGACAAACCACUUCAAGAGUAAUCCUCAGGAUAAGGAUGAUCGUCAUCAAUCCUCAUAAUCAUCUUGAUCCAGCUCAAGAUCAACCCCAACAUCCACCCGCAUAUCUAUAUUUGAAGUAAAAAAAUCCAAACCAGCACGGAGCAAUGUAGAAAAUUGCAAAGCAUCGAUAAACAUACAAACUAUAUAAACAUACAAACUAUUUAUUAAAAGAAAACUGCUGCUUGUUGGGAGGAUGCUGUAACACCUUUAUAUUAGAAGUUGAGCUCCUCACACCAUCUCCAUCUAGAAU
Molecule: unclassified non-coding RNA, 313 nt
Filed under: Hevea brasiliensis (rubber tree)
Lineage: Eukaryota; Viridiplantae; Streptophyta; Magnoliopsida; Malpighiales; Euphorbiaceae
Source: RNAcentral